UAUCUCUGUAGAGUCUGCAUAUCAAUAAGCGGAGGAAAAGAAACUAACAAGGAUUUCCCUAGUAACGGCGAGUGAAGCGGGAAGAGCUCAAAUUUGAAAUCUUCAAGGUUUACCUUGACGAAUUGUAGUUUAAAGAAGUGUUUUCGGUUAGAGGAGUAGUAAAAGUUCUUUGGAAUAGGACAUCAUAGAGGGUGAGAAUCCCGUAUUUGACCAUUCUUUCUAGCUUUGUGAUACACUUUCAAAGAGUCGGAUUGUUUGGGAAUGCAGUCCAAAAUGGGUGGUAAAUUUCAUCUAAAGCUAAAUAUUGGCGAGAGACCGAUAGCGAACAAGUACCGUGAGGGAAAGAUGAAAAGAACUUUGAAAAGAGAGUUAAACAGGUACGUGAAAUUGUCAAAAGGGAAGCGUUUGACACCAGUGUUGUUUUUCCGAAAAUCAAUUAAAAAUGGAUUCAUGCUAAGUUGUAUUGACCUUAUCAGCUUGCAAUUUAGUUUUGGGUUUCUUUUUGAUGCACUUUUCGGUUAACAAGUCAACAUCAAUUUCCUUUGCUGUAAAAAGGCAGGAGGAAGGUGGCUUCAAUUUCGGUUGAAGUGUUUAUAGCCUUCUGUCUCUGCAGUCGGGGAGAUUGAGGUCUGCAGCGUAGAUCCUUCGGGGCUAGAUACAUUCGUGCUAAGUUAUAGCCUUUUAUAGACAACUUGUUGACUAUGAUUGGUCUUGUAAUUUACUCGCGAGUGCUAUUUUACCUACGCUUAGGAUGUUGAUCUACAGAGCGAGAGU
Molecule: ribosomal RNA, 774 nt
Filed under: uncultured Neocallimastigales
Lineage: Eukaryota; Fungi; Neocallimastigomycota; Neocallimastigomycetes; Neocallimastigales
Description: partial large subunit ribosomal RNA
Rfam family: Eukaryotic large subunit ribosomal RNA
Source: RNAcentral